AAUGGAGGCAACUCUGAUCCAGCAAUGCCGCGUGUGUGAUGAAGGCCCUAGGGUUGUAAAGCACUUUCAACGGUGAAGAUGAUGACGGUAGCCGUAGAAGAAGCCCCGGCUAACUUCGUACCAGCAGCCGCGGUAAUACGAAGGGGGCGAGCGUUAUUCGGAAUUAUUGGGCGUAAAGCGCGCGUAGGCGGCUUGGCCAGUUGGAGGUGAAAGCCCGGGGCUCAACCCCGGAACUGCCCCCAAAACUGCCAGGCUUGAGGCCGGGAGAGGAGAGUGGAAUUCCCAGUGUAGAGGUGAAAUUCGUAGAUAUUGGGAAGAACACCAGUGGCGAAGGCGGCUCUCUGGACCGGACCUGACGCUGAGGGCGAAAGCGUGGGGAGCAAACAGGAUU
Molecule: ribosomal RNA, 391 nt
Filed under: uncultured Gammaproteobacteria bacterium
Lineage: Bacteria; Pseudomonadati; Pseudomonadota; Gammaproteobacteria
Description: bacterial SSU rRNA
Rfam family: Bacterial small subunit ribosomal RNA
Source: RNAcentral